Molecule: RNA transcript, 3005 nt
Organism: Triticum aestivum (bread wheat)
Lineage: Eukaryota; Viridiplantae; Streptophyta; Magnoliopsida; Poales; Poaceae
Exons: 3
Source: RefSeq, a predicted model, not a curated record
GUUAAUCACGUAACCGCUCCUCUCGCUGCUCGCCCUCUGCCUCUUUCUCCGCUGCUUUCCCAUGCGACGGUUCCCACCUCCUCCUGGUCGAUCUUGGUCGUCGCCGCCCGCCCGUGGUGAUGCACCCACAGUAGAUCCGUUCUCUCCUCUCGCACGAUGCGUCGCCUCUGCUCCUCCCGUCCCUCGCUGCCAUCUCCCGGCCUUUGGCUUCCUCUGCCCCAAGAUCUGUGCGCGUCGCGGUGGAAGAUCCGAGAAGGGAGGCGAGUCUCUCCCACGGCGUCGCUGUUGCACGGCUCGUUUGCGUUCCUCUCAAAGGACCAGGUGGAGAAGCUGACGGGAGAGAACCGGGACGAGGCCUAUGCCGCCGCCAAGAUAAUGAAGCUCUGCGCCGCUGUGGGCGACGGCAGCAGCACCAAGGUGAUGCCCGAGAGGCCACCCCGGAUCCUGCGCAGCCCAUGGUCACGGCCAAGCUGGAGUGGCGCUCCGGGUUCAUGGCCCCCAAGCUGGUGUUGGGCGCGGCGGCGAAGACGCCACAGAGUUGCCCUACGCUGCCCCGCGCCAUGGAGGAGGUGAUGUAUGAGGAACCAGUUAAAGCAUUUGAUGGCAAAAGACAGAACUUGAAAACUUCAUCAGGGAAAAUUCUGAAAGUAUGGGUCACUUAUCAUUCUAUAGCAUAAGUUUUGAUGAUUGGUUGAUGUCUGUAUCCGUGUAUGAUUGUAUUGUCAUAUUUUAUUUCCUACUUCGUUGAGUUUUCUGUUUUGUGCUAUAGUAACACGCAAUCUCUCUCUCCCCCCUCCCUCCCUCCCUCGCUCGCGCUCGCGCUCUCGCUCUCGCUAACAUUGUGAUAUGUUAUUUUGUACCGGUUUAAGUUCCAUAGUUCUAAUCGUGUCGGUAUCAUAUUUAUUAUUUUCUUAAGAUCUCUAUAGAAUUUUUUGUCUGGAUAAUUAAAAGUAUUUGUUCAGACUACUUUGACUUCUGAUCAAAGAUAGAUUGCAUUUUGUUUCAGAAUAGGAUGUACUUUUCUUACUAGAUAGACAACAUAUAGGAUAAUAAAUGUAUACAUAACAUCUUAAUUAUGUGUAGGUUCACGCUGAAGGCUUUGGACAAGUUUGAGGAUACGUUUGGUCCCUUUGAUUGUGGCUUUAUAUUUUCUAAUAGAAAGUCUAGCAGGGUCUGCAUAGGUAAGAGCUGGAUGACGGCACUGAGAAGAGACAGUUUUCUCCCUCUGACAGUUGCUUCUGUUUCUAGAUUGGAUUACACCAAAAGAUGCCAGUGAUGUACAUUCUCGUGGUACUUGCUCGACAGCGCAUUAUUAAAUUGGUUGAUGGAAAUAGGGAGUUUCUGACAAUUGAUAAAGCAAUAGGUGAAAAUGGAUUCGAGGUUCUGACUCUGCUUCUUUUGAGUGCUUUGUUCCUUUCUCCACCGGGAACUACCUAGAUGGCUUGACUUCAGUCAAGUUCUUGCCUUAUGUAUUGGGCAGGUUAAUUUGCACUUCCUGAAUGCCUCCUUGUUCUGUUAUGGCACUAUCUGAAAAUUUCUAUCCAUAGGGCAUACUACAUUCAGUGGGAAAUUUGUCUGUUCUUGAUGGCUUGCUUAUCCAUACGAAUAUUGGCUCUUGAUGCUUGUGUAGCAUUUUUUAAGUGUUCGUAAAUCAUAUAUAUAUAUACUCCCUCCGUCCCAAAAUUCUUGUCUUAGAUUUGUCUAAAUACGGAUGUAUCUAGUUACGUUUUAGUGUUAGAUACAUCCGUAUCUAGACAAAUCUAAGACAAGGAUUUUGGGACGGAGGGAGUAUAUAUUUAUGUAAAUUGUAUCUUUCUGAAUAUUGUUAAGGAACUGAAUUUUUGGUUCUCCAAUUUAACCCCACUUAGCUUUGUGGUUCACAUAGCAAAUGCUUGAUAGUGAAUGCACAUACUACUAUUUGUUCUUUGCCCUUGUGCAUCGGCCAAUGUCAUAUGUGCCAUCUCGAGACAAAUAUAUGAUAAGUUGACUCAAUUAUAGAUAUCCCUAUUCGUGGCAUCAAUUAUUUAUUUCUAAAGAUUUAUUUCUUAUAGCUGUUAUAUACUACUCCCUCCGUUUCAGUUUACAAGUCCUGUGCGUAUACCUAGGUUGUCAAUUUUAUCACCCUAAUAUAAACUAUAUAGCACAAAAAUUAUACCGUUUGAAAAUAGAACAUAUGAAGUUUAUAUUGGUAUAUUUUUUGUAAUAUUUGACUUGUAUUAGGUUGGUCAAAUUGACGACCUAGGGGUACGCGCACGCCUUAUAAACUGAGAGAGAGGGAGUAUCCUUACCCAUGAAUUAAUAUUUUUUAAUGAUAUUAAGCAUUCUGGGCAGAUCAGUGGCGGAGGCAGGGGGACUAGCAGGGGCCCUGGGCCCCCUAACAUCUGAGCUUUCCUACUAAAUUGCUGAUUAACAGUGUAGAAUCAGUGUUUAUUUGCUGCUUUCCUAUGGUUUGGCCCUCCAUAAGCUAUUUUGACAGCACUUGGCUUCCCUAAUCCAAGUUUCUGGCUCUGCCACUGGGGCAGAUCAGGCUGGUGACGACAACCAUCUGGAUGAGCCGAGGCAUGAUCUUUACUAUGAAGCACAAAGUUUCUCAGACAUUCUUGAUAAUGAGUAGAUAUAUCUAACUAGUGUGAUGGCUACCGUUGACGAAAUACAAGAUGCUUUGGGUUCUGUUGUGGCACAUUCACAUUGAGAUUUUAUUACAAACUGUAGCUUCCAUCAAUGUUCCUGCUUGCUCACUUUGUGAAUGAAGUGAUAUAUCGGGGUCUCAAUUUGCGCCUGCCAUGAUUCUACUCCUCUGUAUGCUUCUAGGAAACAUGUAUUAUAUUGCUGUCCAUUGCGGGUCAUGGAAUCUCAAUUUGCUUUUGGCAUGAACCGACCUUCUAUUAGUUCACAACUUUUGGACAGUGCUAGCUAUUACUUCUAACCACCUCUCAUCUCUGUAAUCAGUCAUCUAGGCUGUAAGACUGUUGCUUCUAUGUUCAUAUAAGCCCUGGCCCAUCUUA